UUUAUCCUACGGGGGGCAGCAGUGGGGGAUAUUGCACAAUGGGGGGAACCCUGAUGCAGCGACGCCGCGUGGGUGAAGAAGCGCCUCGGCGCGUAAAGCCCUGUCAGCAGGGAAGAAAAUGACGGUACCUGAAGAAGAAGCCCCGGCUAACUACGUGCCAGCAGCCGCGGUAAUACGUAGGGGGCAAGCGUUAUCCGGAUUUACUGGGUGUAAAGGGAGCGUAGACGGCAGUGCAAGUCUGAAGUGAAAGGCAAGGGCUCAACCCUUGGACUGCUUUGGAAACUGUGCUGCUGGAGUGUCGGAGG
RNAcentral lists this ribosomal RNA (305 nucleotides) under uncultured bacterium. Its description in RNAcentral is "bacterial SSU rRNA". It matches the Rfam family "Bacterial small subunit ribosomal RNA", at positions 333 to 655 of the family's 1533-position model. The record is from RNAcentral.